Molecule: ribosomal RNA, 543 nt
Filed under: uncultured Glomeromycotina
Lineage: Eukaryota; Fungi; Glomeromycota
Description: SSU rRNA
Rfam family: Eukaryotic small subunit ribosomal RNA
Source: RNAcentral
UGGAGGGCAAGUCUGGUGCCAGCAGCCGCGGUAAUUCCAGCUCCAAUAGCGUAUAUUAAAGUUGUUGCAGUUAAAAAGCUCGUAGUUGAAUUUCGGGGUUCUACCGUUGGUCGGGCUUUGUCUGUACUGGUGUGUAGAAUUUCUACCUUCUGGGGAACCAUCAUGCUAUUAAUUUAGCGUGGUGGGAAACCAGGACCUUUACCUUGAAAAAAUUAGUGUGUUCAAAGCAGGCUUAUGUCUGAAUACAUUAGCGUGGAAUAAUAGAAUAGGACGGUGGUCCUGUUUUGUUGGUUUCUGAAUCACCGUAAUGAUUAAUAGGGAUAGUUGGGGGCAUUAGUAUUCAAUUGUCAGAGGUGAAAUUCUUAGAUUUAUUGAAGACUAACUUCUGCGAAAGCAUUUGCCAAGGAUGUUUUCAUUAAUCAAGAACGAAAGUUAGGGGAUCGAAGACGAUCAGAUACCGUCGUAGUCUUAACCAUAAACUAUGCCGACUAGGGAUCGGACGAUGUUAAUUUUUCUUGACUCGUUCGGCGCCUUACGGGAAAC